GUCGACGAUGAACCACUUCGGUGGGGAUUAGUGGCGAACGGGUGAGUAACACGUGGGCAAUCUGCCCUGCACUCUGGGACAAGCCCUGGAAACGGGGUCUAAUACCGGAUAUGAGCCUGGGAGGCAUCUCCCGGGUUGUAAAGCUCCGGCGGUGCAGGAUGAGCCCGCGGCCUAUCAGCUUGUUGGUGAGGUAACGGCUCACCAAGGCGACGACGGGUAGCCGGCCUGAGAGGGCGACCGGCCACACUGGGACUGAGACACGGCCCAGACUCCUACGGGAGGCAGCAGUGGGGAAUAUUGCACAAUGGGCGCAAGCCUGAUGCAGCGACGCCGCGUGAGGGAUGACGGCCUUCGGGUUGUAAACCUCUUUCAGCAGGGAAGAAGCGAGAGUGACGGUACCUGCAGAAGAAGCGCCGGCUAACUACGUGCCAGCAGCCGCGGUAAUACGUAGGGCGCAAGCGUUGUCCGGAAUUAUUGGGCGUAAAGAGCUCGUAGGCGGCUUGUCACGUCGGUUGUGAAAGCCCGGGGCUUAACCCCGGGUCUGCAGUCGAUACGGGCAGGCUAGAGUUCGGUAGGGGAGAUCGGAAUUCCUGGUGUAGCGGUGAAAUGCGCAGAUAUCAGGAGGAACACCGGUGGCGAAGGCGGAUCUCUGGGCCGAUACUGACGCUGAGGAGCGAA
Molecule: ribosomal RNA, 678 nt
Filed under: Streptomyces sp.
Lineage: Bacteria; Bacillati; Actinomycetota; Actinomycetes; Kitasatosporales; Streptomycetaceae
Description: bacterial SSU rRNA
Rfam family: Bacterial small subunit ribosomal RNA
Source: RNAcentral